UUGAUGAGCAUCCUUACAUUGAUCAGGUAU
Molecule: non-coding RNA, 30 nt
Filed under: Mus musculus (house mouse)
Lineage: Eukaryota; Metazoa; Chordata; Mammalia; Rodentia; Muridae
Source: RNAcentral